AACAAAGAUUCAGUUUUCUUAAAACCCCCAACAUUCUUUAUGGGAACAACAUAAAGGAAUGGAGGGAGUAUUUUAUAGCGAUUUCAUAUUCGUUGGAAAUUUGGAAUAAUUAUAUGUUAUUCGUGAAAUAUAUUAGGUAACCGCAUCAGUUUGCAAUAGCCACAGUACCCCCUCAUUAAUCGACACUAUAAGCUAAUUAAGGUACCCCGCCCUAAUUUUCACGAAUUUAACUCAAAUUUUUUAUCUCCCUCUUCUUCCGCAACCGUCCCCAAUUCUCUACUUCAACUGUUUCUUGACCUAGGGUUAGGAACAUCAAUUUCUUUUAGAUUUCUUUUGGCUAGCUUAUCCUUCUCCCAAUGGAGUCACAGCAACAGCAGCGAAUUGAAGGGUAUUAUUGUAUAUUGGUAUCAGUAAUUGGAACGAAAUGAAGAGCCGUGGAAUUACAGGUCCGAGAACUGGAGACACUACUAGGGAAUGCUGAGCUCCACGCUACUGAAUUUGGACUUCUAUAAUCCUAGUUAGUUUCUUUUGGGUUUGGUAUUUUCAUGAUUAGUGUAAUUGGUAGGUUGUGAUCUUGCUAUUGUGAGUUUGUCUUAUGAGUUAUGACUUUGCUUUGUUUUCUAGGAAAAGUGAGUUUAUUGUGAUUAUUUUUUGCAUUGGUUCUUAAUUUUGAGUUUGUUGUUUGGUGUGGAUUUUUAUGUAAUGUGAACUUUUUAUAUAUAAAGUGGCCUUUAAUUUUAUAUGUUGAAUGAGCCCAGAUGAUAUGCCUUCCUUAUCGUGUUUUUGCUGAUUAAAAAUGUUGGAGGAAUGAGCUGACACACCAUUAGGGAGUUCUGGUUACAUUCUCAAGUAAACACCCACGGAAAUAUGCCUUGCACAUAUAAUUAUGAAAUCUAUUGGUUUUGGUUCUCUCUACUCUUAGACUGAAAUGAAUUCAUACACAAUAUAUAGGUUUAUUUUCUGCACUUAUUUUCUUUUGCUGGUAAGUAAAUUUCAUCAGUACCAAUUAUUUUUAAAGAGUAAAGGUUGCUUAAAGACUCUUUUGUUAACAUCUAAUUCUGAAGACAUGUUAACACCUAUUAACACUGCAGCUAAACAAUUUGGUAAACUAAACAAGAAGUGCAUCAGCCCUUAACCAUGCCAACCCAAAUAUGAAAAUGAUGAUUAACCCACAGACAUUUCUUUUACUCACCCAACAAUUUACUAAACUGAGAAAAACAACAAGAACAGCUCAAAGUCCAUCCAACCUAGGUCUAUUGCUUGCACUCAACUCCUGGAACCCAGCUGUUGCUUUGAAUUUGCUGAUAUAAACCCAAUAAUCUGAACUGAACUGAUAUGUAACUCACAUUAGCUUUCCGAACUAAACUGAUCUAAUAUGUAGCUCCUUGUACUUUUUUUUUUUAACUUUAUGUUCUUUGUUUAAUUGAAUGGAUGAAUAAUUAAAUGAAUAAUUGAAUUAAUAAAUAAAAGGUGGAGGAUGGUGUUCCUAGAUUUUUUUUAAUCGCUUGCUGUUGAAUUGGUAUAGUGGUGGGCAAGACUACAUUUCUUGGCAUUCUGAUGACGAGUCUCUUUUAUGGAACUACACCUCUUAUUGCUUCCCUUUCUUUUGGUUGUGAUAGUCACUUUUACUUGAAGAAUAAACCCAACAAAUCAGUGUCUUCAGAUACCAGCAACACCUUGCACUGCCACUUGCUGAUUGCUUUUCUUAAUACCAUAACCCAUAAACUAACUAAACAAAUAAAAAAAUUUCUUCUAGCAUUUAAGAAGAUUUUGAGUGAUGAAUCUUCGAGCAAGCGGUUGAAGAAAAACAACAUUGAUGAGUAGGAACAUUCCUUUUUAUUAAAACGUGGAUCCAUCUUGGUAAUGAGAGGCUACACCUGAGGAAUUAGAACUAUUUUUUGUCAUAACGCUGUAAGAAAUAUACCCUUGCCUUGCUGUACUCUGAUAUGCAUACUCAUUGCUAUGAAGGUGUGCCUACGAGCAGCCUCCACACUGCUAUGAAGGUGUGCACACAGUACGACCAACCAGACCCCUCUUGUCCUCGUUUAUAUAGGCUAUACUUCGCAGCUUUGCAUAGAUCUGUAAACAAUGAUGUAAUUGCAUCCCAAUUUACGCAAAUCGUUUGGCUUGCUCUUUGUAUGAUAACUCUUUAUUUGGAAAACGGUAAAGUCGGACUUAUUUGGGGAAGCACAUGACGUUAUCGAGUUAUACUAUAUUAGUUGUUUCGUUGUUGCAUUGUAGUAGUUAAUUAGUUAUUUAUCUUGUCAUCUGCAGAUUAUUAGAUAACAUUUUGUUAAGUUUUUAAGACUAUUAGACAAUUAUAUAUCACCUAUGUAAUGACUUAUGACUUACUUUGUAUGAGUUAUUUAUUUAUAAUAUUAUUUUUAUCAUAUAA
Long non-coding RNA from Spinacia oleracea (spinach), 2395 nucleotides. RefSeq lists it as uncharacterized. The record is from RefSeq and is a predicted model, not a curated record. The transcript has 3 exons. Lineage: Eukaryota; Viridiplantae; Streptophyta; Magnoliopsida; Caryophyllales; Amaranthaceae.